Molecule: ribosomal RNA, 1421 nt
Filed under: uncultured Bordetella sp.
Lineage: Bacteria; Pseudomonadati; Pseudomonadota; Betaproteobacteria; Burkholderiales; Alcaligenaceae
Description: partial 16S-23S ribosomal RNA intergenic spacer
Rfam family: Bacterial small subunit ribosomal RNA
Source: RNAcentral
AGGGUCUGAUCCGGGCUCGAUUAACGCUGGCGGGAUGCUUUACGUAAAGUCGAACGGCAGCACGGACUUCGGUCUGGUGGCGAGUGGCGAACGGGUGAGUAAUGUAUCGGAACGUUCAGUAGGGGGAUAACUACGAAAGCAUAAUACUGCAUACGUUCUCUGGGAGUAGACCUUCGGGCCUCGCACCAUAGAGCGGCUGAGGCCAUCGGAUUAGCUAGCUGGUGGGGUAACGGCUCACCAAGGCGACGAUCCGUAGCUGGUUUGAGAGGACGACCAGCCACACUGGGACCGGAGACACGGCCCAGACUCCACGGAGCAGCGUGGUGUAGAAUGGAUAAUGGGGAAACUCUGAUCCAGCCAUCCCGCGUGCGAUGGGCGGCCUCGGGUCAAAGCACUUUUGGCAGGAAAGAAACGGCACGGAUAAUACCCUGCAAAACUGACGGUACCUGUAGAAUAAGAACUGGAGCAACGCUGCCAGCAGCCAUGGUACAGGUGCAGCAGACUGAAUUUAUCAAGGAAGCAGUAUGGUUCGAAAGAAAGAUGUGAAAUCCCAGAGCUACGAAUCUGGAACCUGCAUUUUUAACUCACGAGCUAGAGUGUGUCAGAGGGAGGUGGAAUUCCGCGUGUAGCAGUGAAAUGCGUAGAUAUGAGUGGAACACCGAUGGCGAAGGCAGCCUCCUGGGAUAACACUGACGCUCAUGCACGAAAGCGUGGGGAGCAAACAGGAUUAGAUACCUGUAGUCCACGCCCUAAACGGCUGCCAACUAGCUGUUAGCUCCCGGCCUUGGUAAAGUGCAGCGACCAGGUAGUUGACCGCCUGGGGAGUACGGUCGCAAGAUUAAAACUCAAAGGAAUGAUGGGAUCUGCACAAGGUGGAUGAUGUGUGGACGAAUCUGAUGCAACGCGAAAACUCCAUCACCCUUGACAUGUCUGGAACUGGAAGAGAUUUGGGAGUGCUCGUAAGAGAACCGGAACACAGGUGCUGCAUGGUUGCCAAUACUGUGUCGUGAGAUGUUGCUGGAACCCGCAAUCGAGCGCAACCUUGUCAUUAGUUGCUACGAGAAAGGGCACUCUACUGAGACUUGCUAUGACAAAACCGGAGGAAGGUGGGGAUGACGUCAAGUCCCUGGUAUUCCCAGGUAGGGUCACACACAUGAAUGGUCAAUGAGGCCGCCAACCCGAGGGGAGCCAACCCAGAAACCCUGAUCGUGGUCCGGAUCGCAGUCCGAAAACCGACUGCGUGAAGUCGGAAUCGCUAGUAAUCGCGGAUCAGCAUGUCGCGGUGAAUAGCGUUCCGGGUCUUGUACACACUGCCUGUCACACCAUGGGAGUGGGUUUUACCAGAAGUAGUUAGCCUAACCGGGUGAGGGCGAUUACCACGGUAGGAUUCAUGACUGGGGUGAAGUCGUAAACUUACGUAA